GACGAACGCUGGCGGCGUGCUUAACACAUGCAAGUCGAACGGAAAGGCCCUGCUUUUGUGGCGUGCUCGAGUGGCGAACGGGUGAGUAACACGUGAGUAACCUGCCCUUGACUUUGGGAUAACUUCAGGAAACUGGGGCUAAUACCGGAUAGGAGCUCCUGCUGCAUGGUGGGGGUUGGAAAGUUUCGGCGGUUGGGGAUGGACUCGCGGCUUAUCAGCUUGUUGGUGGGGUAGGGGCUUACCAAGGCUUUGACGGGUAGCCGGCCUGAGAGGGUGACCGGCCACAUUGGGACUGAGAUACGGCCCAGACUCCUACGGGAGGCAGCAGUGGGGAAUAUGGCACAAUGGGCGGAAGCCUGAUGCAGCAACGCCGCGUGCGGGAUGACGGCCUUCGGGUUGUAAACCGCUUUCGCAUGUGCCGAAGCGUGAGUGACGGUAAUGGGUAAAGAAGCACCGGCUAACUACGUG
This 468-nucleotide ribosomal RNA is filed under the name uncultured bacterium. RNAcentral's name for it is "partial 16S ribosomal RNA". It matches the Rfam family "Bacterial small subunit ribosomal RNA", at positions 28 to 507 of the family's 1533-position model. The record is from RNAcentral.